UUCCUACGGGUGGCAGCAGUGGGGAAUUUUUCGCAAUGGGCGCAAGCCUGACGAAGCAACGCCGCGUGGAGGAUGAAGGUCUUCGGAUUGUAAACUCCUGUCGACCGGGACGAAUGCACCCGACCUAAUACGUCGGAGUGUUGACGGUACCGGUGGAGGAAGCCACGGCUAACUCUGUGCCAGCAGCCGCGGUAAUACAGAGGUGGCAAGCGUUGUUCGGAAUUACUGGGCGUAAAGGGCGCGUAGGCGGCCUUGUAAGUCUCGUGGGAAAGCCCUCGGCUUAACUGAGGAUCUGCACGGGAUACUGCGAGGCUUGAGUUCGGGAGAGGAAAGCGGAAUUCCGGGUGUAGCGGUGAAAUGCGUAGAUAUCCGGAGGAACACCAGUGGCGAAGGCGGCUUUCUGGACCGACACUGACGCUGAGGCGCGAAAGCUAGGGGAGCAAACGGGAUUAGAUACCCUUGUAGUC
Molecule: ribosomal RNA, 467 nt
Filed under: uncultured bacterium
Lineage: Bacteria
Description: bacterial SSU rRNA
Rfam family: Bacterial small subunit ribosomal RNA
Source: RNAcentral